CAAUAGCGUAUAUUUAAGUUGUUGCAGUUAAAAAGCUCGUAGUCGGAUUUUGGCUGAGAACGAUCGGUCCGCCGUUAGGUGUGCACUGAUUGGUCUCAGCUUCCUGGUGAGGAGGUGUGCUUCACGGCCACUUAGUCACCGUGGUUACUUUGAAAAAAUUAGAGUGCUCAAAGCGGGCUUACGCUUGAAUAUAUUAGCAUGGAAUAACACCAUAGGACUCCUGUCCUAUUUCGUUGGUCUCGGGACGGGAGUAAUGAUUAAGAGGAACAGUUGGGGGCAUUCGUAUUUCAUUGUCAGAGGUGAAAUUCUUGGAUUUAUGAAAGACGAACUUCUGCGAAAGCAUUUGUCAAGGAUGUUUUCAUUGA
Molecule: ribosomal RNA, 365 nt
Filed under: uncultured eukaryote
Lineage: Eukaryota
Description: partial 18S ribosomal RNA
Rfam family: Eukaryotic small subunit ribosomal RNA
Source: RNAcentral